CUGGGAAGAGCAGAACAAGACCAAGCAAAUUGGAUUACUAUGGUGACUGCGUGUCAUGCUGGGGUCUACUGAAGUGAAGUCCACUGUUCCUUCAUUCAGAUUCUUCCUUGUGCCUCCCUCUUUGCAGGUGCUGGUCGACAAGGAGUCACGCCAACAUCUCAGAUCUAGGAAUAGGGAUGACAAUCCAUCUCUUCCAAAUGGUGUUUCUAUAUUUACAGCAAGUUCCAAGAAGCUCUUGUGUACUGUUCUUCCUGCUUGCUGACUGAGGAAGAAUAUCAGACAGAGAAAGAAUUAGCGAGCUUCUUCUUCAUCUACAUCAAAAGGUUAUAAUAAGCAUUCACCAUGUAAUUACAGCUACAAGUAACAGUCCUUCCAGUUAUUUCUCUGUGUUUUUCUGUUUUGAACAAUUUACUUAUUAUUUUAUUUGAUAGCUUUUAGAGCUACCUCUGCAAAAGAGUGAGCAGGAGUCUCCAAACUGUUGUGGCUCAAUGCAGCUGCAUAUCUGAAAAAGAAAGAGAUUGUCGAAAUAUACACAUUGGACCAAAUCUGGAAAUCUGUACUUCAUUUUUUAUUUUGGGUAAAAAGUUUUCAAAGGUGCCUAAAGUCCCAUUUUCCAAAGUGCCUAACUCCAAUGGACUUUCAGUGAAAGUAGGUGCCUAACUCACUUAGCAAUCUUGAAAAUCCCAUCCCUAAGUGCCUAAACCACUUUUGGAAAUGGAAGUUAGAAUUCUAAGUCACUUACGCAGACAACAUUUCCACUUAAGUUAAAAGCUGAGUGAGACUUUAGAUUGGGCCCAAUAUUAAUGUUGUCAGAUUUUCAUGUAACACAAAAAGUAAUUGUUUUGUUUAAAUCUUGCCCUCUGUCCACCUUUUUGA
Molecule: long non-coding RNA, 876 nt
Organism: Mauremys reevesii (Reeves's turtle)
Lineage: Eukaryota; Metazoa; Chordata; Testudines; Geoemydidae
Exons: 3
Source: RefSeq, a predicted model, not a curated record